GGCGCGGCCGCCCAGCCUUUGCCGCAGCGGCCCGGGAGGCGCCCGCUGCGCUGGCCUCUCCGGUGGCGCAGGGACCGCAGCUUCUGGACGCGGGGACGGUGGUCUGUGUGUCUGCGACCCCGCCCGAGUCCGGGGAUCCCUCAUCUUCCGAGUCUGAGAAAGGUCACCUCCGGACACACAAGAGGACUUAGCGAGCAGUUUGGGGAACGGACGGGCUCUCCAAAAUAUGGAUGGAGGUCAUCCUCAUGAGUUCGAGGGGGUUGUGGCUGGAUCAUCCAAGUGACCUGGCCCUGAGGUCCCUGAUAUCCAGGCCUGCAGGUCACCAUGGAAGGACCCAAGUGGACAUGAGGGCGGAGUUCCGAGUAGGGCUACAAAUAAUAUACUGGAAGGGCACCCUGGAGUCCAAACCGGUGGCACCCUGGAGUCCAACACGUAAAAGAGACUUGGGGGUUUGGAGGUGCCCUUUUGUUUUUUGGGUUUUUUUGGAGGGCCAUUCUCAUGAUCCCUCGCCCCUCUCUUUAAGUCUCUGACGUCAUCUACCCCUCUCUCCUCCCACUCCAUUCGGCAAUCCAGGUCCCCUCUCACCCCAGCACAGCAGAGCUCCUUCCUGCCUUGCCCUAGUUCUUCCCUCUGCCUGGACAGAACACUCUCCCCAGGUGAUUAAAGGGCUCAGUCCCUCACCUCCUGAA
Molecule: long non-coding RNA, 689 nt
Filed under: Marmota monax (woodchuck)
Lineage: Eukaryota; Metazoa; Chordata; Mammalia; Rodentia; Sciuridae
Source: RNAcentral